This 252-nucleotide ribosomal RNA is filed under the name uncultured bacterium. Its description in RNAcentral is "partial 16S ribosomal RNA". It matches the Rfam family "Bacterial small subunit ribosomal RNA", at positions 524 to 776 of the family's 1533-position model. The record is from RNAcentral.
UACGAAGGGGGCUAGCGUUGUUCGGAAUCACUGGGCGUAAAGGGCGCGUAGGCGGCCGAUCAAGUCGGGGUGAAAGCCUGUGGCUCAACCACAGAAUUGCCUUCGAUACUGUUUGGCUUGAGACCGGAAGAGGUAAGUGGAACUGCGAGUGUAGAGGUGAAAUUCGUAGAUAUUCGCAAGAACACCAGUGGCGAAGGCGGCUUACUGGUCCGGUUCUGACGCUGAGGCGCGAAAGCGUGGGGAGCAAACAGG